Trichomycterus rosablanca is the source of this 291-nucleotide small nucleolar RNA. Lineage: Eukaryota; Metazoa; Chordata; Actinopteri; Siluriformes; Trichomycteridae. The record is from RefSeq and is a predicted model, not a curated record.
GCCCCGUGAUGAUACCAAGGCGAAUGUGAGCUCACUGGAUGGAAGUCCGAGUUCUUCUCUGUGCUCCUGUUGGCUGGUAAUCUUGACGAUGCAGUGGAGAUUUGCUGCACUGUUGUAAGGGCCAGCCUACAGUCAUUAAACACCUUCAUUCACACUCUCCUUUAGAGUAAUGUAGGAGAGACUGAACUGUGGUGCUAACAUUGUGUGCAUGUGUACUUCUGGACGCAGAAAGAAUCUCAGCUUUGUUGGAUCCAGUGUGCUUUGAGCUGCAUCUUUGGUAAUCUGAGGGUG